RNAcentral lists this ribosomal RNA (245 nucleotides) under uncultured bacterium. RNAcentral describes it as "partial small subunit ribosomal RNA". It matches the Rfam family "Bacterial small subunit ribosomal RNA", at positions 26 to 285 of the family's 1533-position model. The record is from RNAcentral.
AGAAUCAACGCUGGCGGCGUGCCUAACACAUGCAAGUCGCACGAGAAAGGGGAGCAAUCCCUGAGUAAAGUGGCGCACGGGUGAGUAACACGUGAAUCAUCUACCUCCGAGUGGGGAAUAACCUAGAGAAAUCUGGGCUAAUACCGCAUAACACUUACGAGUCAAAGUCAGCAAUGCGCUUGGAGAGGAGUUCGCGGCCGAUUAGUUAGUUGGCGGGUAAUGGCCCACCAAGACGAUGAUCGGUA